CCACCGCCACCGCCAAAGACUCCAACGACAACUCAAGAUUGCAACCCUAAUCCAAGCCAAUACGUGCCAGUAGCGCCGCCGCCUCCAAGGUUUGUUUACGUGACAGGUCUACCUGGAGAUGUACCGCCGCCACCUCCGAGGUUUGUUUACGCGACAGGUCUACCUGGAGAUGUGUAUCAGUACCAAACCGAUGCUUAUGCAUAUUACUCAGCUGCUCCACGUCAUCACUACAGCAUGGGGUUGCUACUCUUGUUGGUAUGUGCAGAAGUAAUAAUGGCUUUUGGGGGACUCUGAUAAUCAUAUUAUCUAGGUAACUAAUUUGGCCAUGGUCUAUUAAUUUGUCCAUGAGAUCAUGGGAUGUAUCAAUUAAAAGGCUAAUUAAGUAUUCAAUCCAAGUUUAUUAAUUAGCUAGGUCUGUUUGAUUAAUUAGUACUGUUUCUAUAAUGCUAUUGUUGUCCUUAAGUAAUGCUUGCAAUUUUCUAAUGCUAAUGUCGAAUUAACUCG
RNAcentral lists this long non-coding RNA (504 nucleotides) under Malus domestica (apple). RNAcentral's name for it is "long non-coding RNA (MDOM_LNC017798)". The record is from RNAcentral. Lineage: Eukaryota; Viridiplantae; Streptophyta; Magnoliopsida; Rosales; Rosaceae.